This 199-nucleotide ribosomal RNA is filed under the name uncultured bacterium. RNAcentral describes it as "partial 16S ribosomal RNA". It matches the Rfam family "Bacterial small subunit ribosomal RNA", at positions 31 to 560 of the family's 1533-position model. The record is from RNAcentral.
GAACGCUGGCGGCGUGGAUAAGACAUGCAAGUCGAACGGGAUAAUCUUGUAGCAAUACCGGGUUGUUCCCUGGCGAACGGGUGCGUAACACGUGGAUUACAUACCGGAAAGCGAGGAAUAGCCCAGGAGAGACGGCUAACUCUGUGCCAGCAGCCGCGGUAAUACAGAGGUCUCAAGCGUUGUUCGGAUUCUUGGUGCC